This is an RNA transcript of Aquila chrysaetos chrysaetos, 2354 nucleotides long. RefSeq lists it as uncharacterized. Lineage: Eukaryota; Metazoa; Chordata; Aves; Accipitriformes; Accipitridae. The transcript has 4 exons. The record is from RefSeq and is a predicted model, not a curated record.
AUUUAUCUGCAGGGAGCAGUUGUCAUUAACGCUACCUUAUUAUGUUGCAUGCAUAGUAAUUUGUUUUAUAAAUGGCCCUACAGAAAUGAAUGGACCUACUCAGGGAAGAUUUUACCGAUGACUGCAAGAGUUCUAAGGCCAAGUCCGUGCUGAAACACCACCCCAUCUAACAAAAACCCCUUGGUGCAAAGGGUAAAGCCUCUUCUCAAACUUCAGACAUUUUUAUAUUUCACAGAGAUGCAACUAAAACUAAAACCACAUCUACUGUGCUUCUGGAGGACAGAAAGGGCCUGGAGGACACAAGGGGGGACUGUGUUAACACUUGGAGAUACUUAGCAUGCGAGAAAUUGGUCUGAGGAAGCUGCAAUCUGAACAGCAAGAGGGAGAGACAGACAGGCAGACAGACCUGACAGAACUGCUUUACAAAGGUUUUUCUCUUAAAAGGUGAUGGUGUUUCAUGCUGUGGUGAAGUUGUGUGUCUCCUGGCAAACAAGAAGAGAUCUAAGUAAACCAGCCAGACAAAUCUUGGGUUAAAAGUGUGGGGAGGAUUAGGUCACUCUGUUCUUCUUUCAAGCUCAGGAGUUAUUAUAGCUUUCUGUACACAGGGAUGAGUGAGCUCCGGGGAACGAAUAAGAACCCAUUUUGUGCAGACAAGUGGUAAGAGAUGGAUGAAGAUGAAGAAUGAGCAGAAGCAUAAUUCACCAGCAUACCUGAUGGCAUAAUGACAUUGAUGUUUCUUGGCUCAUAUAUCACCCCAGGUGCAGAUAUAUGUCAUCUCAUUCCUGUCCAGCACAAUGGAGAGUCCGUGAGGGAUAUUAUGACUUUUUAAGUCACUGUCUCUCAGCCAGGUUGCUUUGGGGCCAAUGCAAUUACAUGCUCUUCCGCCUGUGGGCUUGAUAGCAAACUGACACUCCCGCCCUCAGCUAGAGGAGCGAUCGGUUGAGGAUGACAGUGUUGCAUAAACAGUUAAGUUAGUCCUGUGUCUUGUCUGUCCCGCGGUGCUGUAUCAGCUUCACCUCUGCUGGAGUGCAGCCUGUGAGCCCCUGUGGCUAAUGCUACCUUUCUCAAAUUGCUGGGAUGCAGGCAUCAAAUACCUAGUACCUCCUACAAGGCGUAAAUCUAGAUUUUCCCUCGGUAUCACAAAUAUGCAGAUCUAGUCUGCACUUUCCAAACGCGGCAGACGAAAAACUUGUCUAGAUACUGAACAUCAAGCUGUUGACAAGUAAGAAGGGCAGGCUGAAUUUCAGAUACUCUUAGAAGAUCUUAAAUGUUCCCUAGGGGUCUGACCUUACGUUCCUUACCCCUGUAAAUUUUUAUUUUUUUUUUUCUCCUAAUGGACCCAUGUGGAACUAUGCCUAGGGAAAAUGCACAUGGCUAAGAGUUGCAGGACCAAGACUAUAUUUUUUGUGACACAAUGUAAUGUUGCCAGUAGGCCACAUCAACACAUAUAAGAAAUGGAAAAUCCUGAUGUAUAUUGAGCAUUGAAUUUUCACAGUAAAUCAACAAAUCUAAGUAAAGUCAGAUCUCAAUUACCCGCACAAGAUGCAGUCUUGUUGAUGUUAUUCAGAACAUGCAUUUUAUUGCCUUGCAAACAUCUGAAAGGAAUUCAGUUUUCAACAACUUUAGGCUUCGGUAUAGCAUAAUGGCUUAGUUUUGUAACAACAGGCUGAAAUAUUGACUGUCACGGAAUUGACUGUCAAACUGAACUUUGUGGGUUUUGUUUUGUUUACAGAUUAAAACUGUCUUCUCAUUUUCAGCUCUGCAUACAAUACCUGCGCACUGAGAAACACAGUGUGAAAACUGUCUGUGUACUGCAACAUGAAAAAGACUGCUCCUAGAUACUGUGAUUAAAUGUAGGACUACAAAGCCACAGGUGCAAGCCACGUGGGACAGCGUGGCUUAUCUGCAAUAUAAGGCAUUUCUUCUACCUUUGAUGUCUGGACAUGAAAAGAAAGUGGCACUGAAGUAUAAUUUUAAAACAAUCUAAAUGUGUUACCACAGACAACAGCAUUGUUUGAAUAUGUAAUUAAUUUUGCUGCAAAACUCUAAUAUUAACAAAUAGACCCCUUUAAAUGUCUCAGGAAUGCAGUCGCAUGAGCAGCUCUUGGAAACAAGGUACAAGUGCUAUUCUUCCAUUGCAACUCCUGGAACAUCAGUUGUGAUAUAAUACAUGAGUCUCAAAAAGUAAAUACAAAGCUGAUAUUGCAUCAUGUAGUUGAGCUUUUAUUUAUAGAAAUAAUUAGAAAGCUAAUGAUAAAAAUACUCAUACGUAUAUGAAAGGUCACUGACAGAAAUGGAAGUUUCACUUGUUUUGAGGAGCAAUCACCGAAUAAAAUGUCAUUCUUCCUGCCUGA